UACGGAGGGUGCAAGCGUUGUUCGGAAUUAUUGGGCGUAAAGGGCAGGUAGGUGGUCUCAUUUGUCUGGGGUGAAAUCCUUGAGCUUAACUCAAGAAGUGCCUCAGAAACGGUGAGACUAGAGUUCUGGAGAGGGUCGUGGAAUUCCCGGUGUAGCGGUGAAAUGCGUAGAGAUCGGGAGGAACACCAGAGGCGAAGGCGAGUCUCUGGGCUGAUACCGACGCUGAGGCGCGAAAGCCAGGGGAGCAAACGGG
Molecule: ribosomal RNA, 253 nt
Filed under: uncultured bacterium
Lineage: Bacteria
Description: partial 16S ribosomal RNA
Rfam family: Bacterial small subunit ribosomal RNA
Source: RNAcentral